Molecule: ribosomal RNA, 445 nt
Filed under: uncultured bacterium
Lineage: Bacteria
Description: bacterial SSU rRNA
Rfam family: Bacterial small subunit ribosomal RNA
Source: RNAcentral
AACGCGAAGAACCUUACCUGGGCUUGAACUACUCGUGGUAAGCCGGUGGAAACAUUGGCUGACCCGCAAGGGAGCGAGCAGAGGUGCUGCAUGGUUGUCGUCAGCUCGUGUCGUGAGAUGUUGGGUUAAGUCCCGCAACGAGCGCAACCCCUAUCUCAUGUUGCUAAUCCCGUAAGGGAUGCACUCUUGAGAAACUGCCUUCGAUAAGAAGGAGGAAGGUGGGGACGACGUCAAAUCCUCAUGGCCCUUAUGUCCAGGGCUACACACGUGUUACAAUGGCCGGUACAGAGGGAAGCAAUGCCGCAAGGUGGAGCCAAACCCACAAAGCCGGCCCCAGUUCAGAUCGUGGGCUGCAACCCGCCCACGUGAAGGCGGAAUCGCUAGUAAUCGCUGAUCAGCAGGCAGCGGUGAAUACGUUCCCGGGCCUUGUACACACCGACUGUAC